GUUAUAUGGUCAAGUGAAGAAGCGCAUACGGUGGAUGCCUUGGCAGUCAGAGGCGAUGAAAGACGUGGUAGCCUGCGAUAAGCUUCGGGGAGUCGGCAAACAGACUUUGAUCCGGAGAUCUCUGAAUGGGGGAACCCACCCAGCAUAAGCUGGGUAUCUUGUACUGAAUACAUAGGUGCAAGAGGCGAACCAGGGGAACUGAAACAUCUAAGUACCCUGAGGAAAAGAAAUCAACCGAGAUUCCCUUAGUAGUGGCGAGCGAACGGGGACUAGCCCUUAAGUGGCUUUGAGAUUAGCGGAACGCUCUGGAAAGUGCGGCCAUAGUGGGUGAUAGCCCUGUACGCGAAAAUCUCUUAGUCAUGAAAUCGAGUAGGACGGAGCACGAGAAACUUUGUCUGAAUAUGGGGGGACCAUCCUCCAAGGCUAAAUACUACUGACUGACCGAUAGUGAACCAGUACCGUGAGGGAAAGGCGAAAAGAACCCCGGAGAGGGGAGUGAAAUAGAUCCUGAAACCGUAUGCGUACAAGCAGUGGGAGCCUACUUUGUUAGGUGACUGCGUACCUUUUGUAUAAUGGGUCAGCGACUUAUAUUCAGUGGCGAGCUUAACCGAAUAGGGGAGGCGUAGCGAAAGCGAGUGUUAAUAGCGCGUUUAGUCGCUGGGUAUAGACCCGAAACCGGGCGAUCUAUCCAUGGGCAGGUUGAAGGUUAGGUAACACUGACUGGAGGACCGAACCGACUACCGUUGAAAAGUUAGCGGAUGACCUGUGGAUCGGAGUGAAAGGCUAAUCAAGCUCGGAGAUAGCUGGUUCUCCUCGAAAGCUAUUUAGGUAGCGCCUCAUGUAUCACUGUAGGGGGUAGAGCACUGUUUCGGCUAGGGGGUCAUCCCGACUUACCAAACCGAUGCAAACUCCGAAUACCUACAAGUGCCGAGCAUGGGAGACACACGGCGGGUGCUAACGUCCGUCGUGAAAAGGGAAACAACCCAGACCGUCAGCUAAGGUCCCAAAGUUAUGGUUAAGUGGGAAACGAUGUGGGAAGGCUUAGACAGCUAGGAGGUUGGCUUAGAAGCAGCCACCCUUUAAAGAAAGCGUAAUAGCUCACUAGUCGAGUCGGCCUGCGCGGAAGAUGUAACGGGGCUCAAACCAUACACCGAAGCUACGGGUGUCACUUAGGUGACGCGGUAGAGGAGCGUUCUGUAAGCCUGUGAAGGUGAGUUGAGAAGCUUGCUGGAGGUAUCAGAAGUGCGAAUGCUGACAUGAGUAACGACAAUGGGAGUGAAAAACUCCCACGCCGAAAGACCAAGGUUUCCUGCGCAACGUUAAUCGACGCAGGGUUAGUCGGUCCCUAAGGCGAGGCUGAAAAGCGUAGUCGAUGGAAAACAGGUUAAUAUUCCUGUACUUCUAGUUAUUGCGAUGGAGGGACGGAGAAGGCUAGGCCAGCUUGGCGUUGGUUGUCCAAGUUUAAGGUGGUAGGCUGAGAUCUUAGGUAAAUCCGGGAUCUUAAGGCCGAGAGCUGAUGACGAGUUGCCUUUAGGCGACGAAGUGGUUGAUGCCAUGCUUCCAAGAAAAGCUUCUAAGCUUCAGAUAACUAGGAACCGUACCCCAAACCGACACAGGUGGUUGGGUAGAGAAUACCAAGGCGCUUGAGAGAACUCGGGUGAAGGAACUAGGCAAAAUGGCACCGUAACUUCGGGAGAAGGUGCGCCGGUGAGGGUGAAGGACUUGCUCCGUAAGCUCAUGCCGGUCGAAGAUACCAGGCCGCUGCGACUGUUUAUUAAAAACACAGCACUCUGCAAACACGAAAGUGGACGUAUAGGGUGUGACGCCUGCCCGGUGCCGGAAGGUUAAUUGAUGGGGUUAGCUAACGCGAAGCUCUUGAUCGAAGCCCCGGUAAACGGCGGCCGUAACUAUAACGGUCCUAAGGUAGCGAAAUUCCUUGUCGGGUAAGUUCCGACCUGCACGAAUGGCGUAACGAUGGCGGCGCUGUCUCCACCCGAGACUCAGUGAAAUUGAAAUCGCUGUGAAGAUGCAGUGUAUCCGCGGCUAGACGGAAAGACCCCGUGAACCUUUACUAUAGCUUUGCACUGGACUUUGAAUUUGCUUGUGUAGGAUAGGUGGGAGGCUUUGAAGCGUGGACGCCAGUUCGCGUGGAGCCAAUCUUGAAAUACCACCCUGGCAACUUUGAGGUUCUAACUCAGGUCCGUUAUCCGGAUCGAGGACAGUGUAUGGUGGGUAGUUUGACUGGGGCGGUCUCCUCCUAAAGAGUAACGGAGGAGUACGAAGGUGCGCUCAGACCGGUCGGAAAUCGGUCGUAGAGUAUAAAGGCAAAAGCGCGCUUGACUGCGAGACAGACACGUCGAGCAGGUACGAAAGUAGGUCUUAGUGAUCCGGUGGUUCUGUAUGGAAGGGCCAUCGCUCAACGGAUAAAAGGUACUCCGGGGAUAACAGGCUGAUACCGCCCAAGAGUUCAUAUCGACGGCGGUGUUUGGCACCUCGAUGUCGGCUCAUCACAUCCUGGGGCUGAAGCCGGUCCCAAGGGUAUGGCUGUUCGCCAUUUAAAGUGGUACGCGAGCUGGGUUUAGAACGUCGUGAGACAGUUCGGUCCCUAUCUGCCGUGGACGUUUGAGAUUUGAGAGGGGCUGCUCCUAGUACGAGAGGACCGGAGUGGACGAACCUCUGGUGUUCCGGUUGUCACGCCAGUGGCAUUGCCGGGUAGCUAUGUUCGGGAGAGAUAACCGCUGAAAGCAUCUAAGCGGGAAACUUGCCUCAAGAUGAGAUCUCACUGGAGCCUUGAGCUCCCUGAAGGGCCGUCGAAGACUACGACGUUGAUAGGUUGGGUGUGUAAGCGCUGUGAGGCGUUGAGCUAACCAAUACUAAUUGCCCGUGAGGCUUGACCAUAUAACACCCAAGCAAUU
RNAcentral lists this ribosomal RNA (2915 nucleotides) under Pseudomonas arcuscaelestis. Its description in RNAcentral is "Pseudomonas sp. P66 23S ribosomal RNA". It matches the Rfam family "Bacterial large subunit ribosomal RNA". Lineage: Bacteria; Pseudomonadati; Pseudomonadota; Gammaproteobacteria; Pseudomonadales; Pseudomonadaceae. The record is from RNAcentral.